This is a long non-coding RNA of Choloepus didactylus (southern two-toed sloth), 479 nucleotides long. RefSeq lists it as uncharacterized. The transcript is spliced from 2 exons. NCBI's taxonomy places the organism in Eukaryota, Metazoa, Chordata, Mammalia, Pilosa, Megalonychidae. The record is from RefSeq and is a predicted model, not a curated record.
UCAUCUACAUCCUCAGUAAGUAGCCUACUACCGACACAGAACAUCUCAGACGAUUUAGACGUUAACUAUCUCCUGUUGUCAAGUUUUCCUUUGCGUACUGUAGUGAAACGUGCUAGUAACACAGUGCUUAUGCAGAUACAUAAACUAACUUCCGAGGCUGCGCGAUUCUCAAACCUUGCCCGACUUUCCUUGAUUCCUAUCUCUAUGGUGGACCUGAGACCACUCUACACCCUGGAGGACUAGGCGAGCACGGCCAAUCACUGCUUACAUGUGGUCCGAAGUCUGACUUGCUAUUGGUUAACAGCGGUAAUGCCCGCCCCAACCCCCGCGCGUCCCUGUCGCUAACUAGGCGCUGUAGGAAAGCCUCGGCCUUUCGGCAGCCGCGAGGUCGGGAGGUCCCUGCCGGUUUGCCGACGUCGGGCCUCAUCGUCCGCACUCCGACUCCCUGAAAAUUCCUGAAUAAAAUGGCUUGGCCCUAA